CUGAAGUCUUGAGGCCAAAUAUUUAUAAUUCAUGACCUUUAAUAGUUUAUCAUUUUUCUUCUUCACAAAGUAAUUUUUAAGUAUCUUGAAAUAAAAGUCAAUUUAUUACCAUAUGGAGAUUAAAGUCAACAGGAAAAUGAGUUUGACCAUCACAUAGAGAAAAGAGGCAGGCCUUGGGUCCCCAGUGACUUCACCUAGAGGGUCACACUUCUCCACUUGCAUUUAGGUGACCUGAAAUACAAUACCACUUCGGAGACCACGAUCCAUCAAUGAGGUAAAUCUCUCCAUAGAAGGAUCUCUUCUUUGUUUAGGAUGUUUGUAGGAGCAAGAUAAAGAAAUAUGGAGAUGAAGCAAGGUGAGCCGGUGACAGUGACUAAGUGUGUAUCAGAGCCCAAGUUCCUGAUAGCAACCCAAAGAAAGGGGAAGGAAGUAAAUAAAAUUAGAUAGAACUCAUAUCCCAAUAACAGGGAAAACCCUCAUCUUUCAAAGAGAUUAGGUUUCCUUCUGGCAUUUAUCAUAAGAGUAAAUGUACUGAAACCAAAAAAUGGGCAGUACCUUCAAUAACCGUCUACACAAGGUGCUUCCGUAUGGACGUUUAUCAUAUAAAUAGACUAUUAAAAUGCAGCAUUCAAUUGUGGUUGAAUGCAGACAUGUAGCAGGGGAAGGUACCGCAUACAGGUGCAUUUUACUGGUAUAGUCACUGUUGUGCUUAGCUUAUGAAGCCAUCAGGACGGCAGUACCCUCUCAUGCCGUAAGAAUGGGUGAACCAACUGAUAAACCUCGAGGGCUCGCCUUCCACAAACUGUGAGUGGGGCAUAAGAGAUCACUGGUAUGCCCAGACCUCAAUCUGCCUCUCCUCUGUUGGCAGGUGUUUGCCGAGCAUUGCCAAUGAAUCUCCUUCAAGCAGCGGUUGGAGAUGUUCGCCAACUCCCAAAUCGAGCUGGAAUAUCCUUCUGCAAUCUCCCUUCUCUGGCUACUUUGCAAACACUAGGAGCAGAGACCGUGCCUGGGUGCAGACAUGACAGUCCACAGCACAGAGGCAACAGAGACAGGAGGAUUGCUAACACAGGCAAACCGCAGUCACUGAUUUAUUUAUUUGUAGAUGGUGUUUCCUACAGUCUGAUAAGGAGGCAUUUCUCAGAAAGAGCUUAGGGCCAAGGUGCCACAAUGAGUCCUCAGUGGCUGAGACAGAUAUAUCCAUCACUGUCAUACAACAUGGAACACAAUCUAGUAGUGGCCUGUGAAAACACAUGCAGGAUCGUUGUGUGUAGUGUCCUGCGCCGUCCAUCCAUUCCCCAACUCUCUCCCCCUCCCGAGCUUACCUAAGUGAAAGGGAUUCUAAAGAUCUUUAGGAAAGAACACCAGAAAAGCUCUGGGCCUUUGGUUUCCGAAUGAUUACAUAAUAACAACAACAACAACAACAAUAAUUAUAGGCCUGUAUCUUUCACAGGACUAUGAUAUAGGCAAAAAAGAAAAAAAAAGAUGACACUUCUGCACACACAUUUUCAGUGUUUGGUGCAGAAUCAGGCACUCAGCAAGCUCCCUGUGUUAGGAAACUAUUUUGCUUAUCCUCAGCUUUGCCAUUGGCUGUCAUGUUCCAUUAGCUAGAAAGCGCUCAGCUCUUCUGUGUGUUUGGAUCUGAAGUUUUUUCAGUCUAGGGAAUCUGUACUUACAGGGUCUAUAACCACCAGCCAACAGCCACCAUCCUCACGUGUGCCAUAUUUCACUUAGACUUGAGUAAGAGAGCACAGGAGGUUAAGUGUUGGUGUGGAUUCCCCCACCACCCACCUCAAGGCUGACGGCUGUUGUCAUGAACUGCUGCAGCCAGGAGUUUCUGACCUUCUGAAUGCUUUCUAAAUAAGGGGUCUGCUAUGGUUGGGAAAUCCUUUUCAGAGCCUAUGUUGAGCUCUGACUGCCAGAUCAUGUUACCGGAAGGAAUAAUUUUAGAGGUAUCUAGGUCCCAAGAGCUCACUGUGGGAACGGCGGUGUCUCUGUCUCACAUUUGACAUUGCACAGGUAUGACAUUGCACAAGUAUGACCCAGCAGGAAGGCCCUUGCCCUCAGCAACUCUAGAACCAGGAGCAGAAUAACCUCUAAUUGUUUGUGAUUGUGUUGGGUGUGUGUCUGUCUGUCUGUCUUGUUUUGUCUGUCU
Long non-coding RNA from Mus spicilegus (steppe mouse), 2152 nucleotides. Lineage: Eukaryota; Metazoa; Chordata; Mammalia; Rodentia; Muridae. The record is from Ensembl.